Long non-coding RNA from Poecilia latipinna (sailfin molly), 102 nucleotides. RefSeq lists it as uncharacterized. NCBI's taxonomy places the organism in Eukaryota, Metazoa, Chordata, Actinopteri, Cyprinodontiformes, Poeciliidae. The record is from RefSeq and is a predicted model, not a curated record. The transcript is spliced from 3 exons.
GUUUAUGUCUUCUUCUGGGGCAGAAUUAUGACACAUGCCUUAUGUCAAUGAAGUAAAAGUCAGAUAUAAUGUGACAUGAUUGUUAUGUUACUUUUAAAACCU